RNAcentral lists this unclassified non-coding RNA (378 nucleotides) under uncultured Chlamydiales bacterium. RNAcentral describes it as "contains 16S-23S intergenic spacer region". The record is from RNAcentral. Lineage: Bacteria; Pseudomonadati; Chlamydiota; Chlamydiia; Chlamydiales.
UCCUGGUUAACCCAGGCAGUCUCGUUAGAGUUCCCACCAUUACGUGUUGGCAACUAACAAUAAGGGUUGCGCUCGUUGCUGGACUUAACCAAACACCUCACGGCACGAGCUGACGACAGCCAUGCAGCACCUAUAUAGAGACCCUUUCGGGAAACCACAUCUCUGUGGUCGUCCUCUACAUUUCGAGCCCAGGUAAGGUUCUUCGCGUUGCAUCGAAUUAAACCACAUGCUCCACUGCUUGUGCGGGCCCCCGUCAAUUCUUUUGAGUUUCACCCUUGCGAGCGUACUCCCCAGGCGGCAUACUUAACGCGUUAGCUCCGAUACAGAUGGGGUUGAGCCCACCUACAUCCAGUAUGCAUCGUUUAAGGCUAGGACUAC